UCCCUGUUGGUCUAGUGGUUAAGACUCUGCGCUUCCAAUGCAGGGGACAUGGGUUAUAUCCCUGGUCAGGAAA
Molecule: transfer RNA, 73 nt
Filed under: Bos taurus (domestic cattle)
Lineage: Eukaryota; Metazoa; Chordata; Mammalia; Artiodactyla; Bovidae
Also listed under: 1 other name
Rfam family: tRNA
About the family: Transfer RNA (tRNA) molecules are approximately 80 nucleotides in length. Their secondary structure includes four short double-helical elements and three loops (D, anti-codon, and T loops).
Source: Rfam by way of RNAcentral